This 524-nucleotide ribosomal RNA is filed under the name uncultured bacterium. RNAcentral describes it as "partial 16S ribosomal RNA". It matches the Rfam family "Bacterial small subunit ribosomal RNA", at positions 28 to 523 of the family's 1533-position model. The record is from RNAcentral.
GACGAACGCUGGCGGCGUGCCUAAUACAUGCAAGUCGAGCGCAGGAAAUCAUCCGAACCCUUCGGGGGGACGUUGGUGGAAUGAGCGGCGGACGGGUGAGUAACACGUAAAGAACCUGCCCUCAGGUCUGGGAUAACCACGAGAAAUCGGGGCUAAUACCGGAUGGGUCAUCGGACCGCAUGGUCCGAGGAUGAAAGGCGCUUCGGCGUCGCCUGGGGAUGGCUUUGCGGUGCAUUAGCUAGUUGGUGGGGUAAUGGCCCACCAAGGCGACGAUGCAGAGCCGACCUGAGAGGGUGAUCGGCCACACUGGGAGUGAGACACGGCCCAGACUCCUACGGGAGUCAGCAGUAGGGAAUCGUCCACAAUGGACGAAAGUCUGAUGGAGCAACGCCGCGUGAACGAUGAAGGCCUUCGGGUCGUAAAGUUCUGUUGUAAGGGAAGAACAAGUGCCGCAGGCAAUGGCGGCACCUUGACGGUACCUUGCGAGAAAGCCACGGCUAACUACGUGCCAGCAGCCGCAGUAA